Hippocampus zosterae (dwarf seahorse) is the source of this 763-nucleotide long non-coding RNA. RefSeq lists it as uncharacterized. The record is from RefSeq and is a predicted model, not a curated record. The transcript has 2 exons. Lineage: Eukaryota; Metazoa; Chordata; Actinopteri; Syngnathiformes; Syngnathidae.
GCACCUGCGAGAGCCAGGUGUGUCACCACUCCUUUCCUGUUUCAAAGCAACCUCGCACAACGACCCGUGGCUACACAGAAAAACGACUCGAAGUACACGUUGGAGUCUCAAUGGUCCCACGAACAAGGCAAUGCAGUAGGUCGCCCCAGCCAGCAGGUGGGAGUGCUGAGUUGAAUUUAAUUGAGCCCCGGAUGUCACUUUACCGAUCCGAGCGUGUGCUUGUUUACGCGGCCAUGUUGGCAGAAUAGUAGCAAUGCAGAGAAUAACGUGUAAGGUUAGUUGAAGUCUCAACUGUCCAUCGGUGUAAAUGGUUGUUUGUCUAUACGUGCCCUGCGUUUGGCUGGCAACCAGCCUAGGGUGUUUGCACAAAGUCUUCUGGGAUAGGCUCCAGCUCACCCGCAACCCAAGUGAGGUUAACUCUAUAAGGCGACUGGUAAGGCCAAAAGGAAUGGCAUGCACUUGGACCCUUUCAGCUCAUUAUUUUAGUAUGAAAAUCUAAAUGGGGAAAAAAAAGACUCUUUCAGUCGAAGGCUUCUGUGAUGAUUGACUGCAUAUGCAAGACCCCGCAGAGCCUCAUUUCUCCCAUUUGGCAUUAAUUAUCCCAUCAAGAGACAAGGAACAAUUAGAACAUGCGGAUUGAAUUCGAGACGUCGAGGGGGAUGCCAUUAAGGGAAAUUGUUUUUAAACUUCAGCUACCAAAACGCUGCAAAUGAACACAUCUCUGUAACUCGAUUGUCCUACAAUAAACGGAUUUGUGCAGAUU